GGGGGAUUAGUAUAAUGGCAUUACGAUACACUUGCAUUGUAUUAACAAGAGUUCGAUUCUCUUAUCCUCCAGCA
This 74-nucleotide transfer RNA is filed under the name Hymenobacter sp. RNAcentral's name for it is "tRNA-Ala". It matches the Rfam family "tRNA". From Rfam's summary of the family: Transfer RNA (tRNA) molecules are approximately 80 nucleotides in length. Their secondary structure includes four short double-helical elements and three loops (D, anti-codon, and T loops). Further hydrogen bonds mediate the characteristic L-shaped molecular structure. tRNAs have two regions of fundamental functional importance: the anti-codon, which is responsible for specific mRNA codon recognition, and the 3' end, to which the tRNAs corresponding amino acid is attached (by aminoacyl-tRNA synthetases). tRNAs cope with the degeneracy of the genetic code in two manners: having more than one tRNA (with a specific anti-codon) for a particular amino acid; and 'wobble' base-pairing, i.e. permitting non-standard base-pairing at the 3rd anti-codon position. Lineage: Bacteria; Pseudomonadati; Bacteroidota; Cytophagia; Cytophagales; Hymenobacteraceae. The record is from RNAcentral.